RNAcentral lists this ribosomal RNA (816 nucleotides) under uncultured bacterium. Its description in RNAcentral is "bacterial SSU rRNA". It matches the Rfam family "Bacterial small subunit ribosomal RNA", at positions 29 to 836 of the family's 1533-position model. The record is from RNAcentral.
AUGAACGCUGGCGGCAUGCUGUACACAUGCAUAGUCGAACGUCAGCACGGGGUGCUUGCACAUGGUGGCGAGUGGCGAACGGAUGAGUAAUGCAUCGGAACGUAUCCAAUAAUGGGGGAUAACGCAUCGAAAGGUGUGCUAAUACCGCAUACGCCCUGAGGGGGAAAGUGGGGGACCGUAAGGCCUCACGUUAAUGGAGCGGCCGAUGUCAGAUUAGCUAGUUGGUGAGGUAAAGGCUCACCAAGGCGACGAUCUGUAGCUGGUGUGAGAGGAUGAUCAGCCACACUGGGACGGAGACACGGCCCAGACUCCUACGGGAGGCAGCAGUGGGGAAUUUUGGACAAUGGGGGCAACCCUGAUCCAGCCAUGCCGCGUGAGUGAAGAAGGCCUUCGGGUUGUAAAGCUCUUUCGCAAGGGAAGAAAACUUAGAUCCUAAUACGGUCUGAGGAUGACGGUACCUUGAUAAGAAGCACCGGCUAACUACGUGCCAGCAGCCGCGGUAAUACGUAGGGUGCGAGCGUUAAUCGGAAUUACUGGGCGUAAAGCGUGCGCAGGCGGUUUCGUAAGUCAGAUGUGAAAGCCCCGGGCUCAACCUGGGAACUGCGUUUGAAACUGCGAGGCUAGAGUGUGUCAGAGGGGGGUAGAAUUCCACGUGUAGCAGUGAAAUGCGUAGAGAUGUGGAGGAACACCGAUGGCGAAGGCAGCCCCCUGGGAUAACACUGACGCUCAUGCACGAAAGCGUGGGGAGCAAACAGGAUUAGAUACCCUGGUAGUCUACGCCCUAAACGAUGUGAACUGGACGUUGGGCACAUGAAG